GGCGAACGGGUGAGUAACACGUGGGUGAUCUGCCCUGCACUUUGGGAUAAGCCUGGGAAACUGGGUCUAAUACCGGAUAGGACCACAUUUUGGAUGGUGUGGUGGAAAGUUUUUCGGUGUGGGAUGAGCUCGCGGCCUAUCAGCUUGUUGGUGGGGUAAUGGCCUACCAAGGCGUCGACGGGUAGCCGGCCUGAGAGGGCGACCGGCCACACUGGGACUGAGAUACGGCCCAG
This 233-nucleotide ribosomal RNA is filed under the name uncultured Actinomycetales bacterium. RNAcentral describes it as "partial 16S ribosomal RNA". It matches the Rfam family "Bacterial small subunit ribosomal RNA", at positions 97 to 334 of the family's 1533-position model. Lineage: Bacteria; Bacillati; Actinomycetota; Actinomycetes; Actinomycetales. The record is from RNAcentral.